UGUUUGAUUUUAUUUCUAUUUUAUUAUUAUUAUUUUUAUAUAUAUUUCAUGUUAGUUUUGCUUUAUUCAAAAACAUAAAAAAAAAAAAUUAAAAUUUUUUUUAAAGAAAAGUACUAAGUGAUUUUAUUUUAAUUUAUUAUUAUUAUUAUUAUUUUUAUUCAUUUUAGUGUAUAUAUUCUUUUUAGUUUUGUUUUAUUUUAUUUUUUUUUUAAAAAUAAAUAAAAAAAAAAAAACCCUAAGUGGAUUGAUCCCCGUCCACGUGGAUCUAUCCCAUUUUACUUGUACUUUUCCCUUUCUCAUUAAACAGUGAAGGGGACUUUUUUUGCCUAAAAUUGUCAAUCCCCCGUCAAAGCAGAUCGAUCGCCCCUUAGCACCACGAAUACAUUCCUCUUCUCAGUUUCUUCAAACCCCUAGCUUUUCCUUUUUCCCUUAACCUUGCCCAUUCACUGUUUACCUUCACCCCCACAUAAAUUCCUCUCUUCUCCCUUUGGAUUCCUUAACCCAAAUCUCCACUUCCAAUCUCCAUGCCCAAUUUCUUCAUCCAAACCUCAUUGUUCUGUCCUUCUUUUCCGCGGCAUUGAAGGCGUCAAAUUCCUGGGCCAUGGCUCUGAGUUUUUCUGUGCCGACGGUUUCUGAUUUGUAAAUCGCCGAUUUCUCCGGCGAUUUUGAUUUGGUCGACGAUUUUCGCCAAUUUCUGGGUUCUGAUUUUGGGUUGCAGUUUCUGGGUUGGUUAAUCGGCAGUGAUUCGCUGCGCCGACGGUGACUGGGCUGUCUCUCCGGCGAUCGUGGCUGCUUCUUCCAACGGCGUCGGAUCUGGGUUGUUAUCUCCGGUGAUCGCGGCGGCUCUUUCCAGCGAUUUCGGCUUGGUGUCGCCGGUGAUUUCGGCUGGGCUUAUCGCCGGCUAGUUUGUGGGUCAAAAUAAAAAUAAAUAAAUAAAUAAAAAACCGCAACAGAACGAUUCCGGCUGGGCUGAAAUUCCAGCGCUAUUUAAGACUCGCACUUUAUUUUUCCGGCGUUGCAACUGGCUGUUCCCUCCAGCGAUUUUGGCUAGAUUUUGAUUUGGUUUCUUCAUCGUUUCCGGCGGCUUUUGACUGGGUUUUCUCCGGCAAGUAUGUGGCUAGGUUUUUGCAUCCAAGUUUAGGGGAGACAUCUUUCCUACUAGAUCAUUGCCGGACUUCAUAGUCUUUGCCAUUACGGUAUACUCUUUCCAUCAUUUUUCAUUGUUCUCAUUGCACAUUGAGGACAAUGUGCAGUUUAAGUUUGGGGGUAAGGUAGUCGUGUUACAUUCUACUUUAAGUUGAGCUUUAAACACAUAAUUGAGAUUUGAAAUGUAUUUGGCAAUGAUUUCGAACUUUUGAAACAUAGUGCCAUUGGAAAGCAAGUUGUUAGAGUCUAAUACUUCUUGUAUGCUCUAGGAUGCCAUUUAGGGGAAAAUUUUAAUUUUUGACAUCAUGUUUGUUUUUGUGGUACACAUCAUCUUGUUGGUUGAAAAUGCUUUAAAAGUUAAUUCUAGAAUUCUACACUUGUACUUGCGCACACUAGCAUUCAAUUUGUGGGGUACAUGCUUAGUUGAUUAUUGUCUUGGUUUAUCCUAAUUGAGCUAGUAUGCUUUGAAAGCUUUCAUUCUUGAUAAAAUGACCUUGCAAAGAAAAGAAAUAAAAGCACUCACCAAAAGUGAGAAAUAAAAAAAAAAAAUAAAAAAAAAAUAA
Long non-coding RNA from Cornus florida, 1709 nucleotides. RefSeq lists it as uncharacterized. The transcript has 2 exons. Lineage: Eukaryota; Viridiplantae; Streptophyta; Magnoliopsida; Cornales; Cornaceae. The record is from RefSeq and is a predicted model, not a curated record.